This 426-nucleotide ribosomal RNA is filed under the name uncultured bacterium. RNAcentral describes it as "bacterial SSU rRNA". It matches the Rfam family "Bacterial small subunit ribosomal RNA", at positions 356 to 774 of the family's 1533-position model. The record is from RNAcentral.
GGGGAAUAUUGGACAAUGGGCGAAAGCCUGAUCCAGCCAUGCCGCGUGUGUGAAGAAGGUCUUCGGAUUGUAAAGCACUUUAAGUUGGGAGGAAGGGCAUUAACCUAAUACGUUGGUGUCUUGACGUUACCGACAGAAUAAGCACCGGCUAACUCUGUGCCAGCAGCCGCGGUAAUACAGAGGGUGCAAGCGUUAAUCGGAAUUACUGGGCGUAAAGCGCGCGUAGGUGGUUCGUUAAGUUGGAUGUGAAAUCCCCGGGCUCAACCUGGGAACUGCAUUCAAAACUGCCGAGCUAGAGUAUGGUAGAGGGUGGUGGAAUUUCCUGUGUAGCGGUGAAAUGCGUAGAUAGAGGAGGGAACAGCAGUGGCGAAGGCGACCACCUGGACUGAUACUGACACUGAGGUGCGAAAGCGUGGGGAGCAAACA